RNAcentral lists this long non-coding RNA (395 nucleotides) under Homo sapiens (human). RNAcentral describes it as "HSALNT0280237". The record is from RNAcentral. Lineage: Eukaryota; Metazoa; Chordata; Mammalia; Primates; Hominidae.
CUUUAAGCCAUGAGAUAUAAGCCCAACCUCUGGAGGGGAAAAGGGGAGCUGGAGAAUGAACCAUGUGACCAGUGGUUCUAUCAAUCAUGCCUGUAUGAGGCCUCAGUAGGCCUCAGUAAACAUUUUAGUACACCAAAGCUCAAGUGAGCCUCCUUGACUGACAUUACUCCUUGAGUAUUGUCACACUUUCAGGCUGGGAGGAUAACACGUCCUUAAGGAUGACAGAAGCAUUGCACUUGGAACCCUGACAGAUGUUGCCCUGCGCAUUUCUUCUUUGGGCUGUAUCCUUUUACUGUAAUAAAACUAUGUAGGCGAAUAACAUGAACAUUGCUUCAUCUUUGUUCCACAAGUUUCUGAGACAGCACCGGUGGCCUGUUCUGGAGAGUUGAUCAUCU